UACGGAGGAUCCAAGCGUUAUCCGGAUUUAUUGGGUUUAAAGGGUGCGUAGGCGGCUUAUUAAGUCAGGGGUGAAAGAACGGUGGCUCAACCAUCGCAGUGCCCUUGAUACUGAUGAGCUUGAAUGAACUAGAGGGUAGGCGGAAUGUGACAAGUAGCGGUGAAAUGCAUAGAUAUGUCACAGAACACCGAUUGCGAAGGCAGCUUACUAUGGUUUUAUUGACGCUGAGGCACGAAAAGCGUGGGGGAUCAAAACAGG
This 258-nucleotide ribosomal RNA is filed under the name uncultured bacterium. RNAcentral describes it as "partial 16S ribosomal RNA". It matches the Rfam family "Bacterial small subunit ribosomal RNA", at positions 524 to 776 of the family's 1533-position model. The record is from RNAcentral.